UACGAAGGGGGCUAGCGUUGUUCGGACUUACUGGGCGUAAAGCGUAUGCAGGCGGAUCAUUAAGUCGGGGGUGAAAUCCCGAGGCUCAACCUCGGAACUGCCUUCGAUACUGAUGAUCUUGAGUCCGGGAGAGGUGAGUGGAACUGCGAGUGUAGAGGUGAAAUUCGUAGAUAUUCGCAAGAACACCAGUGGCGAAGGCGGCUCACUGGCCCGGUACUGACGCUGAGAUACGAAAGCGUGGGGAGCAAACAGG
This 253-nucleotide ribosomal RNA is filed under the name uncultured bacterium. RNAcentral's name for it is "partial 16S ribosomal RNA". It matches the Rfam family "Bacterial small subunit ribosomal RNA", at positions 524 to 776 of the family's 1533-position model. The record is from RNAcentral.